CUGCCAACCUAUCUAUCACUGCCAAUUUAUCUACCACUGCCAAUCUAUCUAUCACUGCUAAUCUAUUGCUGCUAAUCUAUCACUGCUAAUCUAUCGCUGCUAAUCUAUCGCUGCUAAUCUAUUGCUGCUAAUCUAUCGCUGCUAAUCUAUCGCUGCCAACCUAUCUACCGCGGCGAAUCUAUCUAUCGCUGCCAAUCUAUCGCUGCCAAUCUAUCGCUGCCAAUCUAUCGCUGCCAACCUAUCUACUGCAGUGAAUCUAUCUAUCACUAUCAUUACUAGUUCAAAAUAGAACUAGAGCAUAAAUACACUAAACUUCUUUUGAUAGAUAAUGAUUUUUGGUAACACUCAUAGCAUUAUAUCAUCUAUAUAGGGUAAAUCAUGGUCCCAUUUGGUCCCAUUUUGUUAAAAUGGGACCAAAUGGAACCAGAAUCAGUAAUUUAUAAGAAGAACAUAACCUGGGACU
RNAcentral lists this small RNA (463 nucleotides) under Histoplasma ohiense. RNAcentral's name for it is "hypothetical lncRNA". The record is from RNAcentral. Lineage: Eukaryota; Fungi; Ascomycota; Eurotiomycetes; Onygenales; Ajellomycetaceae.